GAUGAAGAACGUAGCGAAAUGCGAUAUGUAAUGUGAAUUGCAGAAUUCAGUGAAUCAUCGAAUCUUUGAACGCAUAUUGCGCUCUCUGGUAUUCCGGAGAGCAUGCUUGUUUGAGUAUCAGUAAACACCUCAACUUCCAUAUCUUUUUUGAAAUGGGAGUUGGACUUGAGUGAUCCCAACGCUUUUCCUCACCGAAAAGUGGCGGGUUACUUGAAAUGCAGGUGCAGCUGGACUUUUCUCUGAGCUAUAAGCAUAUCUAUUUAGUCUGCCUAAAAAACAGAUUAUUACCUUUGCUGCAGCUAACAUAAAGGAGAUUAGUUCUUGUGCUGACUGAUGCAGGAUUCACAAAGACAGGCUUCGGCCGACUUUGUAAACUCGAUCUCAAAUCAAGUAAGACUACCCGCUGAACUUAAGCAUAUCAAUAAGCGGAGGA
This 433-nucleotide unclassified non-coding RNA is filed under the name soil metagenome. RNAcentral describes it as "partial contains 5.8S ribosomal RNA, internal transcribed spacer 2, and large subunit ribosomal RNA". The stretch from base 1 to 120 matches the Rfam family "5.8S ribosomal RNA", at positions 35 to 154 of the family's 154-position model. The record is from RNAcentral.